GAUGAACGCUGGCGGCGUGCUUAACACAUGCAAGUCGAGCGAAGCACUUACCAUUGACUCUUCGGAAGAUUUGGUAAAUGACUGAGCGGCGGACGGGUGAGUAACGCGUGGGUAACCUGCCUCAUACAGGGGAAUAACAGUUAGAAAUGGCUGCUAAUGCCGCAUAAGCGCACAGUACCGCAUGGUACGGUGUGAAAAACUGAGGUGGUAUGAGAUGGACCCGCGUCUGAUUAGGUAGUUGGUGGGGUAACGGCCUACCAAGCCGACGAUCAGUAGCCGGCCUGAGAGGGUGAACGGCCACAUUGGGACUGAGACACGGCCCAGACUCCUACGGGAGGCAGCAGUGGGGAAUAUUGCACAAUGGGGGAAACCCUGAUGCAGCGACGCCGCGUGAAGGAAGAAGUAUCUCGGUAUGUAAACUUCUAUCAGCAGGG
Molecule: ribosomal RNA, 434 nt
Filed under: uncultured bacterium
Lineage: Bacteria
Description: bacterial SSU rRNA
Rfam family: Bacterial small subunit ribosomal RNA
Source: RNAcentral